GCCAGCAUGGUGUAGUGGUUUGAGUGUUGGAUUAGGGCUCUGAAGAACAGGGUUCAAAUCCCCAUUCAGCCA
This is a non-coding RNA of Phrynosoma platyrhinos (Desert horned lizard), 72 nucleotides long. The record is from the annotation of a GenBank genome assembly. Lineage: Eukaryota; Metazoa; Chordata; Lepidosauria; Squamata; Phrynosomatidae.